GAUGCAAAUUCGUGGGAUUUUAUCACCCUAAACUUGAAGACUUGUUCCUUGCUGUUUUUAAGUGUUUUUGAGCAGUUUUGAUGUGUUUUAGUGUGUUUUGAAGUAAAAAUCCGAAAAUUACAUAAAAAUUUGAAAAAUUUGUUUUAAAAACCCAAAAAGAGUUGUUUUUGUGUGUUUGUUUGUGUCUUAGGGUACCUUCCAACACAAUGAUGAGGAUUCGGUUUGUAAUUACAUGGCUGUUAAAGAGAGUGAUUCACAUGGAUGAAAGUUUGAUUCACUCUUUGUUAUGCUUAGUUGUGGUUAUAACUUAUGAAUUCACAUGCAAUCAUAAAAGAAAAAAAUCAGUUUUUGUAACAUGCUUGAAGGAAGGAACUCAAACUAACGCUACAACCUUGUGAGACUUGAGCCUAAACGCUUAUUUGGAGAGUUAAAAUCUGUGCAUUCUUUGUUUUCUAAGUCGUUGCAUGAUCUCAUUAUUCCUUGAUUGGUUGCUACUUAGAAGGCGUUUCAUCAUUUAGUUCCAAAUGCUAGAACUCAUGCCCAUUUCAUUCAAAGCAUGUUAUUGAUUUGCAUAACACAUAUUCAAGAUGAAGUUGUGUAGUGACCACCACCUUAGCCAAAAAGCCAUGAAUCCCCUAUGUCAUUAUGUUUUGUAGGUUUUAACCCCGUUGAGCCUUGUUUAGCCUAUGUUGUUGUUAACCCACAUUAUCCUCACCUAGCCUAGUUUAGGACCAUCCAUACCCUUGUUCUUAAAGCAUAGUAAAGCAUGAUUCGAAUUGAAUUCCUUUUGAUCUAUGUUGGCAGAAACCAAGUGUGGGGGAAGUAUUUUUCAUGAGGAAUUGUGUGCCAUAGGCACGGCAAAGAAAAGAAAAAAAAAUUCGUGGAAAAAAGAAAAAAAUGAAGAAAAAAAGUGUGAAAAGUAUGAAAAAACAGUUUGAAAAAAAAAAGAGAAAAAGAGUUCCAAAGUAUUGUUUGUUGAAGUAAGGGUCCAAAACAAUGAAUUCGGCCCUAAGGAGUUGUUUAAGUCUUCCCCUUGUGUUUUAAAGUUAAUUUCUGCAAUCUAAGUGAAUUCUAAGUCUCAAUUUCAUUGCUUUGCUUACUAUUGCUUGAAGAACGUUUGUUUUCCCUAUCCUUUCCUUGUUAACCAACAACCUAAGCCCCAUUACAACCCUUAACUUCUACCUUGAGUGUUAUGUGUUUCAAUUUGUGGAGUUUGAAUUUGGUAUGAGCAUAUGGUGUCACUGGUUCUCGCAUCUAAGUAGUAGCAUUCCAUUCAUGAGAUCAUAUCUAAACAUGCUUCUUAACUCUAGAAAUUGCGUUCUUUGUGAAACAUAUAUGUGAGCAUUCGUUUUCAUAUCUACAUCAAUCUUCUCACAUAUGACUAGUGUAGGGUGUGGAGUUAGAAAAUCUGAGUGAAAAUAGAGUGUAUAUCUUGUAAGGAAUUGAGGGAAUUCUCUAAGGCAUGUUACUACAUUCAAAGCAUUGUUUUAAUUGAUUACUUGUGAACUAGUAAGUGGUGGCUUUAAUUAAGUAUGUGCUUGUGUAAAGAUGACUCAAAUCUGUGGGGAUAGCAAUCUUGAACAUGUCAUGUGCAUUGGAAAUCCCUGAGGCAAACGUUGGAAGGUUUAGGUUUGUUUUGGUUAGUUUGUUUCGUUUCGUUUUCUUUCUUUUGUUUGUUUUGCUCGAGGACUAGCAAAAGCUAAGUGUGGGGGAAUUUGAUAGGAGCAUAUUUAUGCGCCUUAGUUAGCUAGUUCUUAUGCAUCUUUGUUAUGUUUUCUUUGUUAAAGUAGUCUUUUAAGCUACUUUCAUGUGUUUUCAGGUUUAAAGGACAUAUUACAUGAAAUGAUGCAAUUUGGAGCUUUUGGAGCAAAAAGUGAGCUUGGAAUGAAAAGGACAUGCUUGGAACACAAGGUUGGGUUGAAAUUGAAGAGUUCGAGAUUUGAGGUUUCCUACUUGAAGUAGGAAAGCUAAACCUAAAAGUUUCCAUUUUGGGUUGAUCUUUCCUAAAUCGGAAUUGGCAACCAAAGUUUCUAAAGUUGGAAGUUUCUAUUCUUGGAGGUUUCCAAUUUCGAGAGUUUCUAUUCUCGGCUUUGGGCUUUUGGAUGACCCAUCUUUGCCUCUUGGACCUAUGCCGCACCUAACCCUAGUUUUUGGUGGAUUUCCUAACCCUAGCCGCACCUAAACCCUAGCCCAUUUGUCUAAUCUGAUUUCUUUAGGGUUUGGCUGCCUAUAUAUAUAUGUUUUACCUCCCUUGGCCGAAUCACAACCCUCUCCAUAAUCCAGAAAUUAAUCCUUCACGCCAGAAACCAUUCCCCAUCUUCAACAGCACCUAUCCUUCAUCAUUCACCAUAAUUUCUGACCCAAAACCACCCUAGCCGUCCCAUACACCUAUCCUACACACUUUUCCACCAUUCUACACCAUCCAUAACCCCCAAAAACCAUCACAAACCCCUGUGCCGCAACCAAGGAAGAGGAGGAAGGUUCUUAGAUGUUCCUGCUGUGCAAUUUAGAUUGCUGGAAUUUUUAGGUGUGAUCUUUCUUAUGUUUCAAUGUUUCAAUUCAAUAAACUUUGUGUUGUGAGUAUGAGGAACUAAACCCCCUUAGUUGGGGGGUAAUUCGAAACCAUGUACAUGCUUGCAAUUUGAUUCGAUUACAUUCAGUUGUUAUUUCAUAAGUUGUGGAUUCAAUUCGUUCAUCUAUUUGAUUGAUACUUAUUUAUGUAUGUUGAUUGAGAGUGCACGCUUAGUUUUCAUGCAUGAAUAUGAUGCUAGAUUAUGAGGGAGUUUCACCUAAUAGUUACAAUCUUAUAAUCACAAGUAGUGAAGAUUGCUUGUAAACGAUCGCGUUGAAUGAAUUCUUAGCAUAAGUUUCAUGCAAUUCAUAGUAACAAAUGCUUCGUCAAUGCUUAUGUUUUUCAUAGAACGUAAUGAUUCUUGCUUGUAUCUCUAUUAUGCAAUUCAUGUAGGGAACUUGUAGGGAAUGUUUUGGGUUGUCGUAUGCAAUCAUCCAACUUAAUAACUUGUGGAAAAACUGAGGGUUAAUUAGUGCAAUUCACGGCUAAUCUGGGGCGUUGAGUAUUUAUAAUUUAUUGGAAGAACAACUGAAAAUCGUUUUGUUUGCAAGUGUGACAUGUGUGGAGAAGAACCUCCUAACUAGCCUUUUAUCCAUCUAUUUCACCAAAAUCGUUUUUACAAUCUGUGCUAAUUAAAGUUUCUGUUUUGUGUUAAAUUUUCGUCCAAAACAAAUCCCCCUCUCAUUUGAAGUCUUAGAUUAGUUAGAAAGUAUUUUGAUUUGUGUUUCUAAGUAUUUUGAUUCAAGUUUUCAUCAAAUUUCGUCCAAAUUAGUGUAGGUGCUCAAAACUGCCCAGAAAGUGGUUUUUAGGCAGUUUUGAGCCUUCUAGUUGCUGUUUUGAGUUUUAGGUUUGUUUAAGCGUUUUAACCUUUAGUUUUGCAUUCUUUGAGUCUAGUUUAGUGUUUUAAACUUUGUUUUUGAGUUUUUAAGUCAGUUUCCAAGUGUUUAGCAAUCCCUCCUAAUCCCCGGUCUAGAACGAUCCCUACUUACAUCUCUACUACAAUUUGACAAAAGAGGGUUUAAUUUGUGUGCUUAAUAUAUUUCGCAUCAAUAUGCUUCCUUCUAUUCACUGCCUUAUAACCAUCUGCAACUUUCAUCAUCAAUAGGAAUGUUUUGCAUUUGGAUGGAGGAAUUUGAUACAAUGGAUUCGAGUUUGACAAGAGGGCUAAAUUUGGUAUAUAAACUAGAAAACGCUAUUUCGAACGUAUUUGAAAUAAUUAUACGCGAGGAAUAUUAUUUGAAAUCCAUUUGUUUUCUUUCUUUUCCUUAUUUAAAUCUUGGCAAUACACGAACGAAAAUGGUUCAAACCUACAACUUGAGUCACAAAGUUCCUGCCAAAGUAUAUACGAUAAACACAGUAGUGGAUUGGUCUGGUGGUUAGGGUCUUCUCUUCGACCCACUAUGUCCAAGAAGCAAUCUCUCCCCCUCUCCUAGUGUAGAUUAGUGUAGAGUACGGCUUAUAAUAAAAAAUAAAACAAAACAAAAAGCGUAGAUGUGAUAAACAAAGAACCAAUUCUUAUUGAGACAUAGAACCACUUCAUAUAAUAACAGCCCCAAAACUAUUCAUGUCUCUAAUUUAAAGCUUAACAACCACCAAACAAAACAUCACUUGUAAACUCUCAAGGGAAAAGACUCAGCAUCCCCAAUAAAAAGUCCUAGACAAGAAAACAACCUUAAUAUCAACUGACUAAGAUGAACUCAUCAUCAUCGAGAACUUGGACAUCAUUUUCUCCGACAAAAUUCUCCCCCUAAUUUGCUUAACCAAAUUCACAAACUCUACCCUAUUCGCAAGAGGACGAGGUACAUAUGGCAGCCGGAAGACCAGCCUCACAACCCCAAGUUAGGCAAGUGCUGUGUGUUAAGCCGAUGAGAUUUGGCUCUUGGUAAAGCAACUUAAUCAAAGGCAUCCAUCUUUGCAUUUAGGGACAGUGUUUUCCCUCGAACAUGAGUUGUCGCAUUAAACUUGGGAUGCAAUAACCUCAACUUUUUGGGCUAUGUUGCAAAACUUAAACUUUUGAGCUCAUUUUGUAAAAACACAAAAGUCCACUACUUCAUGUAAUUACAACUAGAACCCAAAAAUUUCAACAAAUUUAAAAACUCCAUUAAAGGAACAAAACAAUUUGUCCUUUAAUGAUUUUGGGCCUUUACGUAAAUACGUAAACUUUUGGGUCAAACUACAAAAUACACAAAAGUACCAAAACUUUAUGUAAUUGCAUAAAAGCCCAAAAAACACCCCACUUGUAGGGUGGCCGGUUUUGGAGAGAAGGGAGUGAUGUGUGUGUUGAUUUGUAGUUUUAGACAUAAAGUCAUGCAAGUGGUGCAUGACAUAAAUGUCAUGCAAGUGGUGUGUGUGAAAGGGAAUUAAUCCUUACACACCCACCAAUAUUUCCUUCACCUUUCAAAAUAAAUAUCUAACACAUUUAAAUAUUUGAAAAGCACAAAACAAAAAACUUUAUGAAAUAAAUCAAAACACCAAACUUUUUGAUCUUGGCUAAAAUAUCAAGAACAAUGAAGAACAUUCAUGAAAAACUCAAAAAAUCUCCAUGAACAUUUUUCACCCAAAGACAUCCCAAAACCACUCAAACUUAAGGGAAAUAACAUAUAACCAAACUAGGGUACAUAGGGGUUCCAAAAGUUACUUGAAAACACUUUUAACAAGUCAAACAAGAACCCAAAAUCCACCCUUUGGAUUUGGCCGAAUUUUCCCAAAAACAUGGCACCAAAUUUUAGCUCCAAUAUUCAUGCUCAUAUGAACUACAUCUACAACAUUUGAGAUGGCAAAUUUUGUAACAAAAUUUACAUUCAAAGAAGCAAGAAUAAAGCUUGUAACAUAUUACAACAUUUAAAUCAAAGACUAUGAACUACAAAACCCAAAAGGAUUCACCAACUACUAGACCUAGGCUCUGAUACCACUUGAAGGAAAUUUUGUGAAAAACAUGUUCAUUUAAGCAACAUCUAUAGCAUGCAAUUAACAAAUUAAAGGUGGAAUCAUGCUUGUAUGCACUUAAAAACAAAACAUUAACCAUGAAAUUCAAAGCCUAGUAGUUGGGUGAACCAAGACUCAACUCAAAACAAAGUGAGUUGAGAAAUUAUACCGUUGUUGAUUCCUCUUUGCAUAAGCAAAGGAUAAUCACCCAAGAGAUAAGGCCUUCAUUCAUUGCUUCUUAGAUCCAUGGAUUUGGAUGGAAGAAUAGGUUUCUCCAAGUUCCCAAAAUUGAGAACCUCUAAGUCUCCACACCAAGGUAAGAUGUGAAGAAGAGAUGAGUGACCUUGGAGGAGAAAGAUUACUAGCUAAUCCCUCCAAGGGUGGCCGGCCUCUUUAAAGAGAAAGGAGAGCUUUGUGUUCUCAUCCUUUCCCCAAAAGAAAACCCUAAAUGAAUUUUGGCUAUAAAGUCAUAUUUAUACCUACAUUCAUUUGAGUGGCAAACUUGUAAUUAAGUCCAAAACCCACUCCUUUAACUAAAUGGCCGGCCAUAGGGAUUCAUUGGGCUUUUCAGGCCUUUGUGAAUUAUUUGUCAUUAAGUUGUCAUACAACUUAGGUCAAUGGGCUUGACGUUCGAAGCCCAUUGGGCCUUGAGGCCCAAAACUAACCCAUGGUCUUUUAACGAACUUUAUUCGUUUGAUUAAUUAACAUAUUAAUUAAUCCUUGCCAUAAAUAAUUAAACCAUUUAAUUAUCCUUACUCAUCUCCGUUGUUUCUUCAAUCUCUGCCUCACACGGUGUACGAUCCAUUAGGUUCCUUUUAGCUAGGCAGUGGGUGAUUAGAACUUUUUCAAAUCGAUUGUGAAUUGAAACUUACUUUCAAUUCUCCCUUUAGUGAUUAUACACGUUUGGGGCUUCCACAAACCAUGAGUGACACCUAGCAGUAUGUCAUGGUUACCCAAGCUAAUCAGAAGAGGUGGAGAACCUAUUCAGUUUAGGAUUACAAUGCAAUACGGUCUUUCUCUAAUACAAUACUCUUGACCACAUUGUUUGGUUUAAUAGUUUAUUCAUGUCUACUAUCCAAUGUGAUUCAUUUACUUAUAUGAUUACCUUGAAUGUGAUUUGGAAUGACUUCCUAAAUCUCAUUCAUACUCUGGCCAGAGAUUCUUAAUCAUAUCAUAGAGUAUUCUCCCUCAAACAGUUUGAAGGUUAGAGAUCCCUUGUUGCGCAUUCACUUGCCUCCAUGGCUAAGUGGCUUAACCCCAACUAUGCCGUGGACACCCUCGAAUGGAGUGACUUUGACAUAAUCAAAGAUCAAGGACUUAACCACAACACAACUAUGAUGCCUCAGGUCAAAGGACUACUUUGCAUUAUCCCAACCAUGAGUUCUCAUGUGACAUGAGUAUGAGAACUCCUUGUUGAUCGUGUUCAGUGGACUCAUUCGUUAUUGAGCACCUACAUGCUUGUCUUGAUGUCAAUCACACCAAUGACUCGAGACCAGUCACUCUCCAUGAGAGAAGACACAACACGUACUGAUCUUAACGGACUGUCAAUGCCCAAUUGGCAAUCCUAUGAUCAGGAACGUUUAGGAUAUGUAUAAGAAAGAGAAUGGUCUCAUAAAUCUAACUUGUUUAAAUUACAUUCUCCUAAUUACAUAUUCCUUGGACUUACCGUUUAAGCAUAUAACAUUUAUAUGAGACGGCUUAAACAAUAAUCUUUGCCCUUGAUAUUAAACUAGAUUAGUUUAACAUGUGAAAUGUCCGUAAAGUAUCAUCAUAUGAUUGGUUUUAGGGCACAUUUCCAACAGUUACUACAUUCAAAACAUCGUUUUAAUUGGUUAAUUGUGAACUAGUAAGUGGUGACUGUGAUUAAGUAUGUGCUCAAGUGUAAAGAUGACCAAAAUCUAUGGGAAUGAUGAUUUUUAACAUGUCAUGUUUCAUUAAAAAUCCCUGAGGCAAAUGUUGGAAGGUCUAGGUUGUGUUUUGUUUGUUUCGUUUGUUUGUUUUGCUCGAGGACUAGCAAAAGCUAAGUGUGGGGGAAUUUGAUAGGAGCAUAUUUAUGCGACUGAGUUAGCUUGUUCUCAUGCAUUUAUGUUUUUAUUUCUUAGUUAAUUAUGUAUUUUAAGCUAUAUUCAUGUGUUUGUAGGUCCAUAGGCCUUAUGAAGCAAUAAGAUGCAUUUUGGUGCAUUUUGGAGCACUUUUGGGCUUGGAAUGAAUAGCACAUGCAUGGAGCAAGGUGGAUGGACGAAAUUGAAGACUAAAAAGGCUAGGAAUGUGUUAAAGAGAAAGAAGAAUUAAUGUAAAAAGGACAAAGAGCUUAGCCACAAAGGGGUGUCACUCCACCAUUCACCUUUCCAUCAUUGUCGUGCACCACCAUUGCACUCCCUUUGGAUUCCUAUGCCGUGCAUCAUCAUCCAUGUUCCCUCCAUUGACUCAUGUGUUGCAUCAUUCCACCUCCCUUUCCUUUCUCUACCAUGUGCACAAUCAUUCAUGUUCCCUAACUGCAACAUCACUCCAUUUUACCCCCAUGCUUUACAUUAUCACUUCACUUUCACCUUUGAAUCAUUUCAAACACCACUCAUUGCACUUAAUUGCUACACCAUUCCUUGUUCCCUCCAUCAUUUUAGAUUUCAUGCAUCAUUAGAUUGAAUCAUUGCACUCAAUUGCUACACCAUUCCUUGUUCCCUCCAUCAUUUCAUAUUUCAUGCAUCAUUGCACUCAAUCGCUACACCACUCCAUGUUCCCCUCCAUUGCCCUGCACUUCCUCUAUAAAAGGAAGUGUGUGUAACAUAAAUUUAGUUCAUACUUGGUUAGAUCAUUCACUCCCAUUUCAACACAACCUUCAUCCAAACACAUCCAUUCAUCUUCACAUCCAUUCCUCCAUACAAACAAACCUUCAAACACUCACCAACACCUUGUGUCGUAGCAAAGGAAGGGAAGGAAAGUGCUUGGACGUGCUUGAUGUCCAACUUGGAUCGUUGGAGCAUUUAGGUGUUUUCUUUCUUUUGUUUCUAAUGUUUAAAUUCAUUUCCUUUCGUUUUGUUGUAAAUAUGAGUGGCUAAACCCCUCUUGGCUAGGGGUGAUUUCAAAGCCAUGAUUAUGUGUGCAAUAUAAUUUGAUAAAUUCCAGUUAUGAACUCUUGAAUCGUGAAUGCAAUUGGCUUAACUAUUUGAUUGAUAACUUAUUUGUAUUUGUUAAUUAAGGGUCGACACUUAAUUGGCAUGCAUAAAUCCGUUGCUAGAAUAUAAGGAAGUUUCACAUAAUCGUUACAAACUUAUAUUCACAUGUAGUGAAGGUCGCUUAUAAACGAUCGCGUUAAGUUCAAUUCCUAGCAUGAGUGACAUGAUGUCAUAGUUGCAAGUGCUUUGUCAAUGCUUAUGAUUUUCAUUAAACGUAAUGAUCUUUUAUUGUAUCUCUAUUAUGAUGUCAUGUAGGGAACUUUAGAGAAUGUUUUGGGUUGUCGAAUGAUGUCAUCCAAUCCAAUAAAACAAGGAAAAUCUGAGAGUUAACUAGUGAUGUCACGGUUAAUUUGGAGCAUUGUCAUUCAUAAUUGAAUGAAGUAGUAACUGGAAAUCGAGUUAUUUGCAUACAUGUCAUGUGCGGAGAAAAAGCCUCUGGCUAUCCCAUCCAUCAUCUUAUUUCUCAAAUUUGUUUUACAAUCUGUCUAGUUUUUCAUACUUGUUUGUUUGUUUCAACUUCGUCCAAAACUCAAUCUCCCUUUACUUUAGUGUGUCUAAUUAGUUAGAAUAUGUUUUAAUUUGUGUUUUUAAGUGUUUUGAUUCAAGUAAAAGUCAAUUUUCAUCCAAAGUCAUUCCUAUUGUCUAGUUUAAGUUUAUUUAGUUGUUCUAAGCUGUUUUGAGUAUUUUAAGUUUGCUUUGAGUCUUGUGAAUCUUGUUAAGUAUUUUUUAUGUUUAGUUUUAUGUUUUUGAGUCAGUUUAGAGGUUAUUAGCAAGCCCUCAUAGUCCCCGGUCCAGAACAAUCCCUACUUAUACUUAUACUACAGUUGUCAAAAGAGGGUUAAAUUUGUGUGUUAAGAUAAUUUUCGCAUCAGUGGUCAAAUCUAAGCGUCGCCAAACACAUCUGGAAGAUCUUCACCGAAUUUUUCUUUGCAUACACCAAUAUAAGCUUAAAAUGAAUCUUGCUAAGUGUGCUUUUGGUGUAUCUACGGGAAAUUCUUUGGGUUUCCUGGUGCAUCACCAAGGCAUAGAGGUUGAUAAAAACAAGGCUCGUGUAAUUAUUGACGCUCCACCCCCAACGACAAAGAAACAGUUGCAAUCAUUGCUAGGAAAAAUCAACUUCCUUCGCCGAUCUAUUUUAAUUCAGCGGGGAAGAUGAAAGAUUUCUCCACACUCCUAAAGCUGAAGGACUUCGACCGUUUUGAAUGGUGAAACAAAAAUGAAGACGUUUUUAUCCAAAUUAAGGUAUCUCUUACUAGUCCUCCAGUACUUAUGCCCCCACUAUGUGGAAAACCACUCUAACUUUAUAUCUCGACUGCUGAAGAAUCCAUUGGUUAUCUUUUGGCAUAAGACAAUGACAAUAACCAAGAACAGGCCAUUUUUUACCUCAGUCGAGAUAAAUUAUUCAGCCAUUGAAAAGCUUUGCCUUGCUCUAAUUUUUGCCUUGUCUAAACUUAGACAUUAUAUGCUUCCCUUGGUCACUCAGGUCAUUGCUCAAACAGACGUCAUUUGUUAUAUGCUUACUCAGCCAAUUUUUAAAGGCCGAAUCGGAAAAUGGACAAUGGCCUUAUCUGAGUUUUGUUUACAAUAUAUACCUCAAAAGACUGUCAAAGCAAAAGCUCUAGUCGACUUCCUCGCCCAACAUCUUUCUCCGUACAGAUUUAGGGGCUACUAUGUCGAAAUCGGCAUGGAGCCGUAUAAUACCUUCAGUUUGGAUAAACAACAUUGUAUUGGCAACUGGCAACAUCUUCAGUUUAUAUAAACAAGACUGGAGCAGUAGAAUUAGUUGACUGAGGAGUAUCUUCAGUUUGGAUAAAUAGCAUUGCUUCGCGACCGACUAGUUAUCUAUCCAAGUCUCAGUCAGCAAGGAUUUCCUAAGUCCUUGUUGAAAAAGGUUAUCUUAUUAGCCUUCUCGACAAAGUAAAGUGUUACCAGGUUAGACGUUCAACACAUAGAAAGCCAAACGUAUUUUAUGAUUGGAUAUUCAUAAGUACAUUUUAGAGUUCGGCACUCAGACGAUCGAACAAAAUUUACAAUCAAGACACACAUCUUUUUUAUGUACUUGUGUCCCUACAAUUUGAUACUAAUUCGGAUCACUUAUAUUCUCACGAAUAUAAUUACUGUUGCCAACCCGGUGCCAACGAUUCGUGAACUUCAUAGGCUCUAGAACUCAAAGGCCAGGACGUGUUUCUUCCUCGGUCGCAAUCACAAGAUUCAGAUGUCAUUAGCGCGCCCAAUGCCACAUCAACACUCAUUCACUCCCCAACCAAGCUCGAUCGACGAGUUGGCACGCCCCGCAUUUAACCAAAGGACGUGGUUAGCUCAUUAGUUACUCAACCUACGCGCCACGUAGGCUAAGUAGGUUUUUGGGACAACAAGCAUAUAUUAUGGAAAAAUGUAAUGUUAAGGAGACUAAAUUUGUAGAUAAAAUUAUGAAAACAAAAUGACAUGUAAGUUGGUAAUUAGAUUAUUACUUAAAUGUGAUAAACGUGUUCCUAUUGAUGACACAUCAUUUAAUUUGCAAAUUUAGUCUUUCUAUUAUUACUCUAUGGAAAUGCUAAGAAGACUCUCUUAAAAGUGAAACUCUUCAUGGACUCUCUUAAAAGUGAGACUCUUCAUGGACUCUCCAUCACCUAAUGUUUUUAACAUAAUUCUUAUACCAAUAUUAUAAAAUAUUAUACCAAAAACAUGAUAUUGUGAAGAGCAUUUGAGAAGUGUCUCACUUUGAAUCUCAUACGCACUUGAAGCUGGCAGCACUACGUCUGCAUCUGCAUGUGAGUCUUUGAGCCCGUAAUUUACUGGAAGAAGUAGGGGUGGAAUUGUCAUUCAGAAAGGUGUCAUGGGAAACUGGAGUGGGGCCAAUCGACGGCAAUUGAGGUCAGAUAGGCCUGGCAAACGAGUCGUGUUAGUCGUGUUUGUGUCGUUUUCGUGUAACACCUAUUAUCUUAACGGGUCGUGUCGUGUCACACCUAUUAUCUUAACGGGUCCUUAACAGGUCAGGUCACUUUACCCAACGGGUAAAGUGACCCGACCCAUUAUGACCCGUUAAGAAAAAAAAAAUUUCUUAAAUUUGCACAUACCACACAUUGUCACAUAAAUAUUACUUCAAAACAUUAAAACACAUUUUUGUCCUUUAAGUACUUCAUCUACACUCGAAAAUAAGAGCCUUAUAAAAAAAACAUCCAUACACUACUAAUCUAUUACAAAUAUUAAAUGUGCAAGGAUAUGCAAAAUGAAAGCGUUUUUGUUUUCAAGGUUGUGAAGCCUUUCUCAAAAGUUUAAACCUUGCCAAUGGAACUCAAAGCUUAAUGAAAGUGACCCACCGGUGUGUCUAUUCGUACUUUCAUUAAGUAUAACAUAAGAUUUUGUGGUAUCCACUAGUGUAAAUAUUUUAAAUUGAAGAUCGAAUUCAUUCAUUGUAUUCAUAUAGGGUCAAGGAGUGUAGUUGUAAAAAUCAUCGAAAUCGGAGUUAAAAUAACCGUUAAAUUGUGAUUUUUCGUUUAUAACCGUCGAAAAGUUUUGUCCUGUUACUUAAUCUUUAAAUGUUUGUUUUUUGCAAUUUUUAGCGUAUGCGAUCUCGAAGCAUAUACAAACAAGUAUGACGGUUAGAUCAUUGAAACUAGUUUCGUAUAAUGCGUAUCCCAUCAAAACAAUAGAUUCACUAACACUUUAGAGUUUAUUCUUACUUUCAUUAAGUAAAACAUAAGAUUUUGUGGUAUCCACUAGUGUAAAUAUUUUAAAUUGAAGAUCGAAUUCAUUCAUUGUAUUCAUAUAGGAUCAAGGAGUGUAGUUGUAAAAAAUCAUCAAAAUCGAAGUUAAAAUAACCGUUAUUGUGAUUUUUUGUUUAUAACCGUCGAAAAGUUUUGUCUCAUUACUUGAUCUCUGAAUGUUUGUUUUUUGCAAUUUUUGGCAUAUGCAAUCUCGAAGUAUAUACAAACAUGUUUGACGGUUGGAUUGUUAAAACUAGUUUCGUAGAAUACGUAUCUCAUCAAAACAAUAGAUUCACUAACACUUAAAGAGUUUAUUCAUACUUUCAUCAAGUAUAACAUAAGAUUUUGUGGUAUCCACUAGUAUAAAUAUUUUAAAUUGAAGAUCGAAUUCAUUCACUGUAUUUAUAUAGGGUCAAGGAGUGUAGCUGUAAAAAAUCAUCAAAAUUGGAGUUAAAAUAACCGUUAAAUCAUUCGUUUAUAACCGUCGAAACGUUUUGUCCCAUUACUUGAUCUCUGAAUGUUUGUUUUUUGCAAUUUUUGGCAGAUGUGAUCUUGAAGCAUAUACAAACAAGUUUGACUGUUGCAUCGUUGAAACUAGUUUCGCAAAAUGCGUAUCUCAUCAAAACAAUAUAUUCACUAACACUUAAGAGUUUAUUAAUAUGGACAUUGGGAAUAGUAUAUGGAAGCACAUAAAGUAAAUAACUUCAAAACUCUUAUGUGUGGGAAGUUUUCUAGAAGUGUCAUUAGAUAUGUUAGAGCCUCGGGCCUAAGUAUCAGGACAUGAGUAUGUGCGGACUUUAAGCCUAUUCCAAAACUUAAGGAGGACAUACCCAAACAAGUGUAAAGUCCCAGCCGAGGUUGGAGGGUCUAUUCGUAGGUUCAUACAACCCAGCCAAUACUAAGAGUGUGAUUCGGUAGGAUCCAAUCGAAGCUGGACAUCCUGGUUUAGUGCAUCUCUUUCGAAGCAUAGCAUGAAUUUCUGUAGAUCCCAGUCGAAGCUGGGUGAGUCUCUACGAUAGACUCUAGCUGAAUCUGGGUCUUUAUGAUCCGGUAUCACCCAUAUGAAUCUGUGUGUUUGUGUUAGUAUUUGAACUUUGGACUUAAAGGAAUGGAAGCCCAAAAGAGCUAAAGUGAAGAAACUCGCCCGAGGCCCAGCACCAAGCCUAGCCAUUCAUCUCAAGAUAAUAUGGCGACUCCUUAUUAAUGAAAGGGUUUAUGCUUACAAGGGAAGUGACAACCGAUGGAAAUCAGCCUACUCUCAACCCAACAGCACUUUCUAAUGGCAAAACAUGUAAAAAAGAUGAUGACUCACUGAAGUGCUUUCGAGCAGCCAAGAUAAAAUGUCUAUAAAAGGAUGAAGAGGCCCUAGAGACAAGACACUCAACCAAUCAAUCAAACAAACAUACAAACUCUGGUCUCAAGCCAGAUUUGCGUCUAAAAGCUGUAAACAGCCUAGAUCUCAAUCCUUUUCAAGAUAACUCCUUACAAAGCCAUCUUUUGUCUAGUUUAAAGCUCUGUGAUCACCCCUAAUGGCGUAGUAUCGAUUCUCUCAUGCAAACUUGUUUACCAUCCAUCCCUUUUAAACACAACCCUCUGUAAUUACAAAGAAAAGAGACUGUAAGACGUUCGACCUUGCCCGACAAGGUGAAAUCUUGCCCGACUCUCUUUGUUUCGUCUUUCAAUUAGUAGAUCUGGUAUUAUGAUGUACUCUUUAGUAUAUAUUCAAGUUAUUUCUAGUUAUUUGGUGAUCAAAAGUUCCAUUGGUCCUCAAAUCUGGUUCACUUAGUGGUUUUACUAUCAUAAAAGCCAAAAUAGGGAUCAAACUGAUGACUUAGUCAGAUUUGGAUAUCCACCCUUUAAAGCAUACAAGAUAAUGAACUAAAAGUCCUUGAUCUCAAGGCACAGAAAAGAACUUAAUGUAGACAUAGCUCAUUUACGACAAUCCUUUGAUAACAAGAAGUCAAAAUAACUUGUGGUGCAAGUAAUCGAGUUAAACACACUUGUUCUACAUCUGCCAUACUGAGAUGGUAGUGGCACGCCUAAGCACUUAGUUAGUGUUGAUUACAAGCCUUAAGGCCUACACCUAAGGUCCAGUAAAGGCACCUUUCAGAACUAACUCUGUUCUUCUCUUGUAGCUUCUCAACAAGCAGAAGCCCGAUAAUCAACCAAAGUGCCAACUCAUCGAGGAGUUGUGUGCUCGUGCCAGAGAUCCUCCCUAGCGAAAUUCCUGCCCGAACAUAGUUUUGGCACGCUCGGUGGGAUCACAAGUCUUGUAUGUCAAGAAAAUGAAGGAAAAAACAAACCUUCAGGUGGAAAACAAAGCAAAAACCACCCAAGUGUUUACCAACGUAAAAAAUGACGGAUCAUCUAGAGAAUAUUUCCCCUCACAAGGACCAACUACUCUGAAAAAUCCGACUUCGUUUGAGAAAUCAAGAGGAAUGGUGACCAACGAAGAUUUGCAGGCCAUGGAUAAAAGUACUAAGAAGCAUGGAGAAAAUCUCUCUAGACAUUAGAGGGGAAGUAAGCAGACUCUGUUCUGUAACAGGAAAUCUAUAAAGAAGGCUAGAUCUGGAGUACUAUACCCUAGAAAAUUGUACUAGAGAGAUGAUGAGUGAAGCAAGUCCUGUGAUUGAACCAGUUAUUCCUCUGUUUCCUAUACUUGAGGAAAAAGGGGAAUAAAGGAAAAAACAAGGAAGAAUUUGGAGCCAGUGAGCCAGUGUUGGAAGAGAUCCUAGAAGCGGAGUUGCCUGAGCCCUUACUAUUUCCACUUAAUAGUAGAGGCCAAUGCUGGCAAGAUAAAAAGAAGUAUGGGAUGCCCCAGUUGACCGGGGAAUCCAGUGGAAAAGGCGGGCUCUACUAAGCCAGACAAACCUCUUCGUUCUAAGCCUUCACCAUUGGUCAGUAAAGGAGGGGAUGCUAAGUGGAGAAAGCCCGAACCGAGAAAGGAGAUUAACUUGGGCAACGAUUGUAGCCCGAAGUGGGAACUUCCUUAUACCUCGCCUAAUAAUACAGCCAAUUACCCACUCAGAGAUGAGUUGGAUGAGUUGAGAAGGAUGGUGGUAAGAAAUGCUCAGCCACAAGCUCACCUGCUGUUUAGGGUCACCUAUCAGAAGCCCUACCCGGAGUUCGUUAAUGAGCAGAAUCCAUUUCCUCUUAACUUCAAAAUGCCCGCAUUCCCAACAUUCAACAGAGAAGAUAAUAAUGUGUCCUCUAGUGAUCACAUCUUCAAAUUCUCCAACCAAUGUGUAGCAUUUAAAGAUAACCCUAACUACAAGUUGAGACUGUUUGAAAACUCCUUGAUGGGCUUAACAUCUCAAUGGUACUUGAUAGGAGCAUAUUUAUGCGCCUUAGUUAGCUAGUUCUUAUGCAUCUUUGUUAUGUUUUCUUCGUUAAAGUAGUCUUUUAAGCUACUUUCAUGUGUUUUCAGGUUUAAAGGACAUAUUACAUGAAAUGAUGCAAGUUGGAGCUUUUGGAGCAAAAUGUGAGCUUGAAUUGAAAAGGACAUGCUUGGAACACAAGGAUGGGAUGGAAUUGAAGAGUUGAAGAUUUGAGGUUUCCUACUUGAAGUAGGAAAGCUAAGCCUAAAAGUUUCC
Molecule: long non-coding RNA, 15970 nt
Filed under: Malus domestica (apple)
Lineage: Eukaryota; Viridiplantae; Streptophyta; Magnoliopsida; Rosales; Rosaceae
Description: long non-coding RNA (MDOM_LNC019567)
Source: RNAcentral